UCCCUGGUGGCUCAGAGGGUAAAGCAUCUGCCUCCAAUGCGGGAGACCUGGGUUCGAUCCCUGGGUCGGGAA
This 72-nucleotide transfer RNA is filed under the name Ovis aries (sheep). It matches the Rfam family "tRNA". From Rfam's summary of the family: Transfer RNA (tRNA) molecules are approximately 80 nucleotides in length. Their secondary structure includes four short double-helical elements and three loops (D, anti-codon, and T loops). Further hydrogen bonds mediate the characteristic L-shaped molecular structure. tRNAs have two regions of fundamental functional importance: the anti-codon, which is responsible for specific mRNA codon recognition, and the 3' end, to which the tRNAs corresponding amino acid is attached (by aminoacyl-tRNA synthetases). tRNAs cope with the degeneracy of the genetic code in two manners: having more than one tRNA (with a specific anti-codon) for a particular amino acid; and 'wobble' base-pairing, i.e. permitting non-standard base-pairing at the 3rd anti-codon position. The record is from Rfam by way of RNAcentral. Lineage: Eukaryota; Metazoa; Chordata; Mammalia; Artiodactyla; Bovidae. RNAcentral also lists the same sequence under 1 other name.